GACGAACGCUGGCGGCGUGCUUAACACAUGCAAGUCGAACGGAAAGGCCCUGCUUUUGUGGGGUGCUCGAGUGGCGAACGGGUGAGUAACACGUGAGUAACCUGCCCUUGACUUUGGGAUAACUUCAGGAAACUGGGGCUAAUACCGGAUAGGAGCUCCUGCUGCAUGGUGGGGGUUGGAAAGUUUCGGCGGUUGGGGAUGGACUCGCGGCUUAUCAGCUUGUUGGUGGGGUAGUGGCUUACCAAGGCUUUGACGGGUAGCCGGCCUGAGAGGGUGACCGGCCACAUUGGGACUGAGAUACGGCCCAGACUCCUACGGGAGGCAGCAGUGGGGAAUAUUGCACAAUGGGCGGAAGCCUGAUGCAGCAACGCCGCGUGCGGGAUGACGGCCUUCGGGUUGUAAACCGCUUUCGCCUGUGACGAAGCGUGAGUGACGGUAAUGGGUAAAGAAGCACCGGCUAACUACGUGCCAGCAGCCGCGGUGAUACGUAGGGUGCGAGCGUUGUCCGGAUUUAUUGGGCGUAAAGGGCUCGUAGGUGGUUGAUCGCGUCGGAAGUGUAAUCUUGGGGCUUAACCCUGAGCGUGCUUUCGAUACGGGUUGACUUGAGGAACGUAGGGGAGAAUGGAAUUCCUGGUGGAGCGGUGGAAUGCGCAGAUAUCAGGAGGAACACCAGUGGCGAAGGCGGUUCUCUGGGCCUUUCCUGACGCUGAGGAGCGAAAGCGUGGGGAGCGAACAGGCUUAGAUACCCUGGUAGUCCACGCUGUAAACGGUGGGUACUAGGUGUGGGGUCCAUUCCACGGGUUCCGUGCCGUAGCUAACGCUUUAAGUACCCCGCCUGGGGAGUACGGCCGUAAGGCUAAAACUCAAAGGAAUUGACGGGGCCCCGCACAAGCGGCGGAGCAUGCGGAUUAAUUCGAUGCAACGCGUAGAACCUUACCUGGGUUUGACAUGGAUCGGGAGUGCUCAGAGAUGGGUGUGCCUCUUUUGGGGUCGGUUCACAGGUGGUGCAUGGCUGUCGUCAGCUCGUGUCGUGAGAUGUUGGGUUAAGUCCCGCAACGAGCGCAACCCUUGUUCACUGUUGCCAGCACGUUAUGGUGGGGACUCAGUGGAGACCGCCGGGGUCAACUCGGAGGAAGGUGGGGAUGACGUCAAGUCAUCAUGCCCCUUAUGUCCAGGGCUUCACGCAUGCUACAAUGGCUGGUACAGAGAGUGGCGAGCCUGUGAGGGUGAGCGAAUCUCGGAAAGCCGGUCUCAGUUCGGAUUGGGGUCUGCAACUCGACCUCAUGAAGUCGGAGUCGCUAGUAAUCGCAGAUCAGCAACGCUGCGGUGAAUACGUUCCCGGGGCC
RNAcentral lists this ribosomal RNA (1346 nucleotides) under uncultured bacterium. RNAcentral describes it as "partial 16S ribosomal RNA". It matches the Rfam family "Bacterial small subunit ribosomal RNA", at positions 28 to 1381 of the family's 1533-position model. The record is from RNAcentral.